CAUCCCCUUUACUGCCUUUCUCCUGCACCAUACCUUUACAGGCACAGUGAAAAGCAAGAAUUGAGGAGAAAAACCAUGAAGGUAUUGAUUAUUGGCCUUGGAGGUGUAACAAAUGGGGGGAAAACAACACUGGCAGAAAAGCUUAAGAAAAUGCUUCCCAAUUGUGAUAUAAUCUGUCAAGAUGACUUUUUUAAGCCAGAGUCUGAAGUAGAAACAGAUGAACGUGGAUUUAAGCUAUAUGAUGUGCUUGAUGCCCUUUAUAUGGAUGAAAUGGUGAAAAGUAUUCACAAUUGGAUGAAAAGCCCAGCAAGCUCAGGUGUUGUGACAGAAGAGCCACAAAAUACGUGUGACAAUCUGAAAAAUACAGAUGUUUAUAUUUUGAUUGUUGAAGGCUUUCUUCUAUACAAUUAUGAGCCACUUAAUGAACUAUGGAAUAGAAGAUAUUUUUUGACCCUUCCUUACGAAGAGUGCAAAAGGAGAAGGAGCACCAGAGUCUAUCAGCCAGCAGAUACACCGGGUUACUUCGAUGGACACGUGUGGCCUAUGUAUCUGAAACAUAAAAGUGAAUUGGAAGAGAAUGCAAGUAAUAUUGGUAUGGUAUCCCUACUUUUAAACUUAGAAAAUGCUAAAAUGUGGCUCUUACACAGUUACCAUUGGGCUGUGGGGUUGUUUUUUUUAAUGGGACAAAGUUUUCUUCAGAUGUUUUUGUGGCACUUGGACAGUUUGGGUCUUUUGCUGGUUUAUUUUUUAAGUCUAUAAGAGGGGUUUUUUUAACGAUGAAAGUUAUGAAGUUAAAAAGAUACAAAGCUUCUGGUUACUAAGUCCAUUUAAAAAGCUAUUAUUUUAAAUGGCUAGAACAUUUGUAUGGUGUAUGUAACAAGCUAGCACAUAUAUGUGUGGCUUUAUAGGAAACUUCCGAGACGACAGCAGAUGCACUGUCACGGUUCCUCAGAUCAUAACUGAAAUCCUUGUUAAGUCACUUGAGACACUUCCUAGUGUCUUACGUAUGACUGCACUACAGUCACCAGUCUUGCAUGUGAAGUUUCAAAGCUGGGCCAGCUGAUGAGACACUACCGUGAGCUUGUGUAAUGUUCACAGCUAUACAGCUCUUGGACUGCCCACUGGGAGAAUUCAAGUGACUGCUUCAUCAGCACACGUCUUACUGUGCAGUGAGAAUGGGAACUGUGAUGCCUUUCCUUGAUGUGCUGAAUCCCUGAAGCUGAGGAAUAACCUGAGGUCUUCCACUGCAUAGGAACCCUUACUCUACUGUCCUAAUGUUACUACCAUUACCCUUAUGGAGACUUUCAUACACACACACACAAAAAAAGUAAUUCUUAACUAGAGCAUUUUUACUUUAGGUUAUUUUUAACAUCUAAAACAAGUUUGGGAACAAAGGAAAGGGAGGUAUUGUUCUUGGGGUUUAUUUUUUCAUCUCCUGAUGGCACUCACAGGAAUACCAAAACCUUUGCCAAUUGCUAUUAAAAAAUAACUGGCAUAGAACUCAUGAAAACUUUCUUUCAUCUUUCUUAGUUUAUUUGGAUGGAACAAAAUCCCAAGAGGAGCUUUUAUCCAGUGUGUACAGUGAUAUAAUACAGGAAUUAAAAAAGCUGAGGGAAGAAAACCAGCAGGUCACAGUAUGAUAACAUAGAAAGCUUGGGUUCCGUCUGAUGUGAAUUGAAAGCCCCAAGACUGUCAUACUUGGCAAGCCAACCAACUGAGCAGAUGUUAAUGUAUGUUUAUAAUACCCAUUUGGAGAAUACAAGUGGAUUUGUAGUGAUUACUGAGUCUGUAAGCCUCAGGUAUUGUUGAGUAAUAUCAACACUGCAUUAUUCUUCAGAAUUUCUUUAAUCAGUCAUUCUUUCACUGAUGUUUGAUUGAAUGUGUACAUUUUAAAGCAUAUAAACAUAUUUUUGUAUACAAAACUAAACUAGAAAGAUGCAGUUCUUUUGGACUAAUAAGCAUAUUUGAACGUGGAUCAAUACAAUUUUAAAUGUUCAUAUACAAAGGACAGUGAUUAAUUUUACAAGCUUCUAAUCACUGAUAAAUAUGGUUAGAUGAACUGGUUGUAUGUUGUAGCAGCAGUAAUUUGAACAUGGUAUGAAGUGUUACACUGCUUAUUCAGUAACAGAAGCUGUUAUUGAAUAUGUAACUGAACUUACUUGCUAAACACCUCUGUGUGUUUGCAAAGUAAUUUUUAUGUUGUGUGUUGGUUUGAGCAGUUAGGAGUGGAUAUUUAAAAAAAUCCAAACAAACCUGAAGAGAAGUCAGGUUGUUGGGAAAAGAUGGGGGAACAAUAUGGAGGAUAGAAUACUGAUGCAUCGUUAAUGACAUUAAGUACAUGUAUUGUGUGAAAAUCAAGGACUGGGGUGGCACAGACUACUACAAUAAAUGCGCGCAUCAGGGAGGAGGAAGAGGGAAGAAAUAAUUCUGGUUAAUAAUCAUAGCUCAGGUUGAAAUUGCAGUAACGAAUGUAUUCAGAAAGCAGCUAUGUGAAAUGUAUGUUGAAGCUUUUUUGUAGAAUUUGUAUAUUUAGAUAAAAUAGAAAACUGGAAAGUUUAAUCAUUUAGGGUGGCUGAAUAAUUUAUGAACUCUUACAUUUUCUUUGAAAACUUAUCAUUUAGAAUAGAAAUCAACCUACAGACAUGAAAAGCAAAGGAUGGGUUAUAUAUAUGGGCUAUAUACUGUGUGUUAGCUGAACUGAUCAGUGAUUGAAAUAUAAUGCUUUAUUGUUAACAGUAUUAAGGGUCCUAAACCUGUAUAUAUCAAGAGUUUGUUAAAAGAGUGGAGUUUUGUGAAGCUUGUGUUUCAGACAAAGUGCUUCCAAGUUCUAUUUUGUAUUACAAUUUUGCAGUAAAAAUACUUCAAGAUGGAUUUUAAACUGUA
Melopsittacus undulatus (budgerigar) is the source of this 2883-nucleotide RNA transcript. It is a transcript of the gene named nicotinamide riboside kinase 1, with no coding region annotated. The record is from RefSeq and is a predicted model, not a curated record. NCBI's taxonomy places the organism in Eukaryota, Metazoa, Chordata, Aves, Psittaciformes, Psittaculidae. The transcript is spliced from 8 exons.